ACAUGCAGUCGAGCGGACCGACGGGAGCUUGCUCCCUUAGGUCAGCGGCGGACGGGUGAGUAACACGUGGGUAACCUGCCUGUAAGACUGGGAUAACUCCGGGAAACCGGGGCUAAUACCGGAUGCUUGAUUGAACCGCAUGGUUCAAUCAUAAAAGGUGGCUUUCAGCUACCACUUGCAGAUGGACCCGCGGCGCAUUAGCUAGUUGGUGAGGUAACGGCUCACCAAGGCGACGAUGCGUAGCCGACCUGAGAGGGUGAUCGGCCACACUGGGACUGAGACACGGCCCAGACUCCUACGGGAGGCAGCAGUAGGGAAUCUUCCGCAAUGGACGAAAGUCUGACGGAGCAACGCCGCGUGAGUGAUGAAGGUUUUCGGAUCGUAAAACUCUGUUGUUAGGGAAGAACAAGUACCGUUCGAAUAGGGCGGUACCUUGACGGUACCUAACCAGAAAGCCACGGCUAACUACGUGCCAGCAGCCGCGGUAAUACGUAGGUGGCAAGCGUUGUCCGGAAUUAUUGGGCGUAAAGCGCGCGCAGGCGGUUUCUUAAGUCUGAUGUGAAAGCCCCCGGCUCAACCGGGGAGGGUCAUUGGAAACUGGGGAACUUGAGUGCAGAAGAGGAGAGUGGAAUUCCACGUGUAGCGGUGAAAUGCGUAGAGAUGUGGAGGAACACCAGUGGCGAAGGCGACUCUCUGGUCUGUAACUGACGCUGAGGCGCGAAAGCGUGGGGAGCGAACAGGAUUAGAUACCCUGGUAGUCCACGCCGUAAACGAUGAGUGCUAANUGUUAGAGGGUUUCCGCCCUUUAGUGCUGCAGCAAACGCAUUAAGCACUCCGCCUGGGGGAGUACGGUCGCAAAAACUGAAACUC
This 870-nucleotide ribosomal RNA is filed under the name Bacillus licheniformis. RNAcentral describes it as "bacterial SSU rRNA". It matches the Rfam family "Bacterial small subunit ribosomal RNA", at positions 53 to 902 of the family's 1533-position model. The record is from RNAcentral. Lineage: Bacteria; Bacillati; Bacillota; Bacilli; Caryophanales; Bacillaceae.